UGUAAGAAAUGCAGAACAUUUUGUUUCAGACACAUAUUGCAAAUGAACUAUUCAAAUCACUUACAGAUUUAAAAUAUCAUGGCUAGGAUAAAAUUCGUAGAAGAUUAUUCAGUUUCAUAUCAAUCCCUGUGCCUGAACUAUUAAUUCUGGUAAAAUUGAGUGACAGAAAAGGACGAUGAUCAGAAUAUACAUGUGUACAUAUGAAGUAGAAGGUCUACUAUUUAGACUUGUCCAGAUUCAAAUACCACAUCACAGUCAUUUCAUGGAAAUACAGGUGCAAAUACAAGUGCAGAACAUUUGAUAAUCACAGCAAUGUGAAACACUUCAAUUCAAGUCUCAAAACAAUCAGGGAGAGCAUGCUUCAAUGGACAGAAAAACUAACAAAUUCUAUCCCAAAAGAAAAUUAACAUUGGGUUCAAUUGAAAAAUCUUCUGGAAUUCGUUUCUGCAAACGCAGAACAUCAGCAAAGUUAUUAAACAAUACC
This is a long non-coding RNA of Populus euphratica (Euphrates poplar), 484 nucleotides long. RefSeq lists it as uncharacterized. NCBI's taxonomy places the organism in Eukaryota, Viridiplantae, Streptophyta, Magnoliopsida, Malpighiales, Salicaceae. The record is from RefSeq and is a predicted model, not a curated record. The transcript is spliced from 2 exons.